This 495-nucleotide ribosomal RNA is filed under the name uncultured bacterium. RNAcentral describes it as "partial 16S ribosomal RNA". It matches the Rfam family "Bacterial small subunit ribosomal RNA", at positions 28 to 507 of the family's 1533-position model. The record is from RNAcentral.
GACGAACGCUGGCGGCGUGCCUAAUACAUGCAAGUAGAACGCUGAAGGAGGAGCUUGCUUCUCUGGAUGAGUUGCGAACGGGUGAGUAACGCGUAGGUAACCUGCCUGGUAGCGGGGGAUAACUAUUGGAAACGAUAGCUAAUACCGCAUAAUAGUAGAUGUUGCAUGACAUUUGCUUAAAAGGUGCAAUUGCAUCACUACCAGAUGGACCUGCGUUGUCUUAGCUAGUUGGUGGGGUAACGGCUCACCAAGGCGACGAUACAUAGCCGACCUGAGAGGGUGAUCGGCCACACUGGGACUGAGACACGGCCCAGACUCCUACGGGAGGGAGCAGUAGGGAAUCGUCGGCAAUGGACGGAAGUCUGACCGAGCAACGCAGCGUGAGUGAAGAAGGUUUUCGGAUCGUAAAGCUCUGUUGUAAGAGAAGAACGAGUGUGAGAGUGGAAAGUUCACACUGUGACGGUAUCUUACCAGAAAGGGACGGCUAACUACGUG